This 26-nucleotide transfer RNA is filed under the name Vidua paradisaea (paradise whydah). RNAcentral's name for it is "partial tRNA-Trp". The record is from RNAcentral. RNAcentral also lists the same sequence under 12 other names. Lineage: Eukaryota; Metazoa; Chordata; Aves; Passeriformes; Viduidae.
GAAACUUAGGAUUACCUAAACCGAAG